This 25-nucleotide non-coding RNA is filed under the name Arabidopsis thaliana (thale cress). The record is from RNAcentral. RNAcentral also lists the same sequence under 1 other name. Lineage: Eukaryota; Viridiplantae; Streptophyta; Magnoliopsida; Brassicales; Brassicaceae.
AUUUGAAGCUAGAGGUGUCAGAAAA